AGUGAACGCUGGCGGCGUGCCUAAUACAUGCAAGUCGAACGGAGAUUAAGUAGCUUGCUAUUUAAUCUUAGUGGCGCACGGGUGAGUAAUAUAUAGCUAACUUGCCCAUUACUAAGGGACAACAGUUGGAAACGACUGCUAAUACCUUAUACUCCGUAUCUAUAUAAGUAGAUACGGGAAAGUUUUUCGGUAAUGGAUAGGGCUAUAUCGUAUCAGCUAGUUGGUAAGGUAAUGGCUUACCAAGGCUAUGACGCGUAACUGGUCUGAGAGGAUGAUCAGUCACACUGGAACUGAGACACGGUCCAGACUCCUACGGGAGGCAGCAGUAGGGAAUAUUGCUCAAUGGGGGAAACCCUGAAGCAGCAACGCCGCGUGGAGGAUGACACUUUUCGGAGCGUAAACUGCUUUUCUUGGGAAAGAAUUAUGACGGUACCCAAGGAAUAAGCACCGGCUAACUCCGUG
Molecule: ribosomal RNA, 462 nt
Filed under: uncultured bacterium
Lineage: Bacteria
Description: partial 16S ribosomal RNA
Rfam family: Bacterial small subunit ribosomal RNA
Source: RNAcentral